Molecule: ribosomal RNA, 447 nt
Filed under: uncultured Eubacteriales bacterium
Lineage: Bacteria; Bacillati; Bacillota; Clostridia; Eubacteriales
Description: bacterial SSU rRNA
Rfam family: Bacterial small subunit ribosomal RNA
Source: RNAcentral
GGGCCCGCACAAGCAGUGGAGUAUGUGGUUUAAUUCGAAGCAACGCGAAGAACCUUACCAAGCCUUGACAUCUCCUGCAUAACCUAGAGAUAGGUGAAGUCCUUCGGGACAGGAAGACAGGUGGUGCAUGGUUGUCGUCAGCUCGUGUCGUGAGAUGUUGGGUUAAGUCCCGCAACGAGCGCAACCCUUACUGAUAGUUACUACGCGAAGAGGACUCUAUCGGGACUGCCGUUGACAAAACGGAGGAAGGUGGGGAUGACGUCAAAUCAUCAUGCCCUUUAUGGCUUGGGCUACACACGUACUACAAUGGCCGUUAACAACGUGGACCAAAGGGGCGACCCGGAGGGAAUCAAUAAAAACGGUCUCAGUUCGGAUCGGAGGCUGCAACUCGCCUCCGUGAAGUCGGAAUUGCUAGUAAUCGCGGAUCAGCAUGCCGCGGUGAAUACG